This 506-nucleotide ribosomal RNA is filed under the name uncultured bacterium. RNAcentral's name for it is "partial 16S ribosomal RNA". It matches the Rfam family "Bacterial small subunit ribosomal RNA", at positions 29 to 523 of the family's 1533-position model. The record is from RNAcentral.
AGUGAACGCUGGCGGUAGGCCUAACACAUGCAAGUCGAACGGCAGCACAGAGGAGCUUGCUCCUUGGGUGGCGAGUGGCGGAUGGGUGAGGAAUACAUCGGAAUCUACUCUGUCGUGGGGGAUAACGUCGGGAAACUUACGAUAAUACCGCAUACGACCUACGGGUGAAAGCAGGGGAUCUUCGGACCUUGCGCGAUUGAAUGAGCCGAUGUCGGAUUAGCGAGUUGGCGGGGUAAAGGCCCACCAAGGCGACGAUCCGUAGCUGGUCGGAGAGGAUGACCAGCCACACUGGAACUGAGACACGGUCCAGACUCCUACGGGAGGCAGCAGUGGGGAAUAUUGGACAAUGGGCGCAAGCCUGAUCCAGCCAUACCGCGUGGGUGAAGAAGGCCUUCGGGUUGUAAAGCCCUCUUGUUGGGAAAGAAAGCCACCUGGUUAAUACCCGGGUGGGAUGACGGUACCCGAAGAAUAAGCACCGGCUAACUUCGUGCCAGCCGCCGCAGUAA